AAUCAACGCUGGCGGCGUGCCUCAGACAUGCAAGUCGAACGCUAAAGUCCCCUUCGGGGGACGAAGUAGAGUGGCGCACGGGUGAGUAACACGUAGGUAAUCUACCUUUGGAUGGGGAAUAACAACCGGAAACGGUUGCUAAUACCGCAUAAUGCAGCGGCACCUAAAUGGUGACAGUUGUUAAAGCGGGGGGAUCGAAAGACCUCGCGUCUAAAGAGGAGCCUGCGGCGGAUUAGCUAGUUGGUAAGGAAUGGCUUACCAAGGCUACGAUCCGUAACCGGCCUGAGAGGGCGGUCGGUCACACUGACACUGACAUACGGGUCAGACUCCUACGGGA
This 337-nucleotide ribosomal RNA is filed under the name uncultured bacterium. RNAcentral's name for it is "bacterial SSU rRNA". It matches the Rfam family "Bacterial small subunit ribosomal RNA", at positions 32 to 346 of the family's 1533-position model. The record is from RNAcentral.